AGAGUUUGAUCCUGGCUCAGGCUUAUCGCGAGCUACGGGCUUAACACAUGCAAGUCGAACGGAUUCUGGAUUCGUCUGGAAUUAGUGGCAAACGGGUGAGUAACACGUAUCCAACCACCCUGCGACUCGGGGAUAGCCUCUUGAAAGGGAGAUUAAUAUCCGAUGUACUGUUUUUGGUGCAUGCCAUUUUCAGUAAAGUUUUUUACGGUCGCUGACGGGGAUGCGUUCCAUUAGAUAGUCGGUGUGGUAACGGCUCACCGAGUCUAUGAUGGAUAGGGGUUCUGAGAGGAAGGUCCCCCACAUUGGAACUGCGACACGGUCCAAACUCCUACGGGAGGCAGCAGUGAGGAAUAUUGGUCAAUGGGCGAAAGCCUGAACCAGCUAUGUAGCGUGAAGGAUGACUGCCCUAUGGGUUGUAAACUUCUUUUGUUCGGGAAUAACAGACUUCACUUGUGGAGUUUUGCAUGUACCGUUCGAAUAAGGAUCGGCUAACUCCGUGCCAGCAGCCGCGGUAAUACGGAGGAUCCUAGCGUUAUUCGGAUUUAUUGGGUUUAAAGGGAGCGUAGGCGGGGGGUCAAGUCAGCUGUGAAAUACGUACGCUUAACGUUCGUCUUGCAGUUGAAACUGGUUUUCUUGAGUGCGUAUGAGGCAGGCGGAAUUCGUGGUGUAGCCGUGAAAUGCUUAGAUAUCACGAAGGACCUCCUAUUGCGAAGGCAGCACACCUAGUUCUUAUUGACGCUGAGGCACGAAAGUGUGGGGGAUCAAACAGGAUUAGAUACCCCGGGUACUCCACACUGGAAA
This 801-nucleotide ribosomal RNA is filed under the name uncultured bacterium. RNAcentral describes it as "bacterial SSU rRNA". It matches the Rfam family "Bacterial small subunit ribosomal RNA", at positions 8 to 806 of the family's 1533-position model. The record is from RNAcentral.